RNAcentral lists this transfer RNA (74 nucleotides) under Spiroplasma sp. RNAcentral's name for it is "tRNA-Gly". It matches the Rfam family "tRNA". From Rfam's summary of the family: Transfer RNA (tRNA) molecules are approximately 80 nucleotides in length. Lineage: Bacteria; Bacillati; Mycoplasmatota; Mollicutes; Entomoplasmatales; Spiroplasmataceae. The record is from RNAcentral. RNAcentral also lists the same sequence under 4 other names.
GCGGGUGUCGUAUAAUGGUAUUAUUACAGCCUUCCAAGCUGAAGACGUGGGUUCGAUUCCCAUCACCCGCUCCA